Molecule: transfer RNA, 73 nt
Filed under: Phrynosoma platyrhinos (Desert horned lizard)
Lineage: Eukaryota; Metazoa; Chordata; Lepidosauria; Squamata; Phrynosomatidae
Description: tRNA-OTHER
Source: RNAcentral
AGCCAGUGGGGUGUAGUGGUUUGAGCAUUGGACUAGAACUCUGGAAACCAGGGUUCAAGUCCCUGAUCGGCUG